RNAcentral lists this ribosomal RNA (303 nucleotides) under uncultured bacterium. RNAcentral describes it as "bacterial SSU rRNA". It matches the Rfam family "Bacterial small subunit ribosomal RNA", at positions 355 to 675 of the family's 1533-position model. The record is from RNAcentral.
UCGGGAAUAUUGCGCAAUGGAGGAAACUCUGACGCAGUGACGCCGCGUAUAGGAAGAAGGUUUUCGGAUUGUAAACUAUUGUCGUUAGGGAAGAAAUUGACAGUACCUAAGGAGGAAGCUCCGGCUAACUAUGUGCCAGCAGCCGCGGUAAUACAUAGGGAGCAAGCGUUAUCCGGAAUUAUUGGGUGUAAAGGGUGCGUAGACGGGAGAUUAAGUUAGUUGUGAAAUCCCUUGGCUUAACUGAGGAACUGCAACUAAAACUGGUUUUCUUGAGUAUUGGAGAGGAAAGUGGAAUUCCUAGUG